Arachis ipaensis is the source of this 2158-nucleotide non-coding RNA. NCBI's taxonomy places the organism in Eukaryota, Viridiplantae, Streptophyta, Magnoliopsida, Fabales, Fabaceae. The record is from RefSeq and is a predicted model, not a curated record.
CUUAUUCUCUCUGUCUCUGCACUGCUCCUUCUCUCUCGCUUCUAAGUUUCUCACUCUCUCUCUCUCUCUCUCUCUCUCUCUCCUCCUUCCUUCAUCGUGUCAGUGUCUUAAUCUCUCUAUGGAUCUCCUUCUUCCUAGUAAAAGCCAACAGAACCGUCUGAUUCAAAACCAUCACCAAUCCCUACGAACCCCACCUAAAACACUAACCUUAGCAACUGGAAUUCAUUGUCUGAAAGCACAAAGGAGGAGGACGUGGUGGAGGCAGCAGACCUCUCUGAAAUCCUCAACCCAUGGAGACACAACAGGCGAGAUGGACUAUAAUGGGGCGGAGGACGGCUCGAGACUUCUCCUUCUGAGGCAGUGACUCUCCCUCCGAAACGCAACAGCGUUGGAUUGAUCACACCAAGAGGGCGAUGAGGAGUCAAAGAGGUGAGGUGGAGUAUAACGGGGUGCAGGAGGGCUCGACGGGAACGGAGUUCUUCCUCUGAUGCGGUGAGUGUGACCUCUGGCCGAUGUGUUCUCUCUCUCCGUGGCCAACUUCCUCUUAAGGGUUUUUUGAAUUAGUUCACCUCUCUUUCAUCUCUGAUUCUCCAUUCCAUUCCCCCUUUUCCAUUCUCACUCUCAGGCACACAACACAUCUAAAGCCCAAACCCAACCCGCAAAAUUCUAGGGUUUGUGUUUGCGGUUCCAUAAUGUCUCAGAAUGGGAAGCUCAUGCCCAAUCUCGACCAGCACAGCACCAAGCUCCUCAACCUCACUGUUCUUCAGCGCAUCGACCCCUUCGUCGAGGAAAUCCUCAUCACCACUGCACACGUCACCUUCUACGAGUUCAACAUCGACCUCUCCCAAUAGAGCCGCAAGGACGUCGAGGGAUCCCUCUUCGUUGUCAAAAGAAAAUUUGGUGGAAAAUCUUUUGGGGGAUUUCGAGUAUGAAGUUCAGGUUCCUUAUCUAUUGUAUAGAAAUGCUGCCUAAGAAGUGAAUGGCAUCUGGUUCUAUAAUGCACGUGAAUAUUGAGAGGUUGCAAAUCUUUUUAACAGGAUCCUUAAUGCAUAUGCUGAGGUGCCUCCAAAGUCAAAGGUGUCUUCUACAAAGAGGUUUUCUCAUUUUUGGAUCCUCCCAAUCUAUGCAAAGCUGCGCCAGUGUUUGUACGCAGUGGAACUCCCGAUGAACAUAAUCACGGCAGCAACAAAAUGAGCAGAGAAAGAGGGCGAUGAAGACUCACAGCCGAGAUGGGCUAUAAUGGGGCGGAGGACAGGUCGAGACUUCUCCUGAAGCUAUGACUAUCCCUCUCAAACACAGCAGCGGUGGAAUGAUCAGAAAGAGAGGGCGAUGAGGAGUCAAAGAGGCAAGAUGGACUAUAACGGGGUCGAGGAGGGCUCGACGGAAAGGGAGUUCUCCCUCUGAGGCGAAUCUAAUGAAAAAGAAAUGCUUGAUAGAGGAUAAACAUGGUUUCUGAGAUUGCAUAAGGAUAUUCCUUGCUUGCACCUUAUAAUUAACAAAAAAGGUUUUAAAAUUAUGAAGUGUAGAGUAUGGAGGAGGACAGCAACUUGAGGGUUAUUUGUUUUACGGAGAAGGAUUUUAGUGUGGAUCACUUUCUAUAGGUAAGUUUAAGUUUCGCCCGUUCUGUUUAUUUUUUAAAGGUUAGCUUUUAGGAUUUGCUUUCUGGCUUCGCUCAUUUUGAUUUUUUCUGGUGUUAUUUUGUUCCAAUAUUAAAGGAUUAGUUUGUGUGUAUAGAAUGUUCACUGUUUUUUAUUCAAAUUUCCUAAAAGAAUUUAGUAUGUUAUUUUUCACAAUUUAGGAAUUAGGUUGAAUAAGUUCUGUAGGUCUGGGAUUCAGAGUUAUGCAUGUGUCGGAUGUAGAUUAGAUGAAAUGCUGUCGUGUUUCUUUUUUAUUUCACCUUUUGUUUAUGUAUUUUUGCCAUCUGAAACAUGUAUUGUGGAAGCAUUUUUAUGAGGUAACAUUUUGCAUGAUAUCGAUUUUUAUUGGUUUAAAGUUGAUUAAGUUAUUGUGGCAUAUUAAGCAUUGGCAAUUGAUCUAUAAAUUUAUUAAUAUUUGAUGUCUAUGACCAAUUUGAGUUUAAGAAAAUAAUCUCACUUCAUAUUAUAAGCAUUAGAACUAAUAAAAAUGAGAUAGAUAAUUGGGUAUUAGGUAAGAGAGA